This 1826-nucleotide long non-coding RNA is filed under the name Mus musculus (house mouse). Its description in RNAcentral is "long non-coding RNA chr7:112067896-112069722". Lineage: Eukaryota; Metazoa; Chordata; Mammalia; Rodentia; Muridae. The record is from RNAcentral.
UGGGAUCCAUCCAAUAGCUGACUGUGAGCAUCCACUUCUGUGUUUGCUAGGCCCCGGCAUAAUCUCACAAGAGACAGCUCUAUCUGGGUCCUUUCAGCAAAAUCUUGCAUCUUUUUCAUUUUAACAUUUCUGAUCACCUCGUAAGAUUUUUAGCAUGACUACAGACUUAGCAAUCAAUGCUAAGAUCUCUUACAAUUAAGAAAGGUCUUCUCUCAUUCAUUAUGGAAUUAUCUUUUAAUACUACAUGUCUUCAUUGUAUUUGUAGUAACCAGUGUUCAAGCACUUUUCUGCACUGUAGCUUGUAGGCACUCAUUUUCACAAGACUCACUAGAUCCUCUUGGAACCCAAGGAAUUGUAUACCUGUAAUGUUUUUUUGAAAGAUAGAAGACAUAUUGUAAAUGUUCCAGAAAUUUCUGUACCAGAGAAAUUUGUUAUAAGUAUUUUAUUUGUAUUUCUUUCUCUGUGGCACACUUGAUAAUAUUUCAAGGUCCAUGGAGAUUCUGAGGAACAUAGAUUGUAAGAUCUCUAAUACGGUCUAGGACAAAUGUAGUGGGUUUCCCUUCCUUGCCAAGUCUUUUAAAUUAUGUUUGAACCAAAAUUAUAAUGCUGUCUAAUGUGAUUUUUUUUUUUUAGUACAGGUAAAAGAAAUAUUUAAGCCAGUUGAUCUAUAAAUGGAAUAGGGCAUAAGACCUUAGGGGCAGUUGGACACUGUAAUAGAAGUAAUAGAAGGAUGGUGUUGAUAAACCUGAUAACUAGGACAGUGAUCAAAAAAGGAAAAGGACCCAAGCAUACUCUAGGUACUGCAGUAGAAUUUUUUUAAAUGUUUAAGUAAUCCUUGGAAGGCACAAGAAAGAAAUAGGAAUGAUAACCAAAAUAUAUACAAAAAUCUGAAAAUAGUAUGGACACCUUAGUGACAUGUGUGUGUAUAUAUCAGCUGAGAAACAGUAGAUUUUUAAAACACAGUCCAAUACUAUGUUGUCCAGAAGGAAUUAUGUGCAUGCCUAUGUGAGAUGGUGGAAAGUAGUGUCAUACAUCAGAAGAAAUCGGGAGUGGCUGUGUAUGUUAGGCAGAUGAGGAUAGUUUUAGAACAUUUCCAUACUAUCAAGACAUUAGUAAACACAUACAUAUCAACUAACAGCUGUAAAGUGCGUGAAGGAAUAGCUUCUUUAGAAAAUACAUACGAACUAAUUUUUUUCUAGUUGUAGUUAGAGAUUUCAGUAUCCUACUCCUUUGCCAAUUCAUAGGUAAAACAACUAUACAGAAUGGCAAAGAAGUUACAGAAGAAUCCAACAGCACCAUGAUUUGAUUGACAUCAAAUGUUCCAUCCACCUGCAAAGUACACAUUUAAAUGCCCAUAAAAUAUAGUCCAGAUAGGCCAAAGCUUGGGCUGUAAAAGUACUCUUAAAUUUUUUAAUCAUAUUAUGUGAUUUCCAACACAGUGAAGUUGGCAUAGAUACUACUAGCAAAAAAAUAGGAAAAUAACCAAAUAAUUGGAAUCUCAUGUGAAAGAAAUGAAGAGACUAAAGGCUAAAAGAACAUUUACAUAUCAUAUACCAGACAAAGGAAUAUCUAAAACAUAUACAAAAUUUUAAAGCAUCGAGUUUUGGGUUUUUUUUUUGGGGGGGGGGGGUUGGUUGGUUUGUUUUUUUUUAAUUUCACAAUCCAUUUAGAAAAUUAGCAAAAGGCCAGGCAUUGGUGGCAUACACCUUUAAUUCCAGCGCUUGGGAGGCAGAGAUAUCUCUGAGUUCAAGGACAGCCUGUUCUACAAAAUAAGUUCCAGGACAGCCAGGGCUACACUAUAAAACCUUGCCUCAAAAAAGAAAAGG